RNAcentral lists this ribosomal RNA (948 nucleotides) under Triticum aestivum (bread wheat). Its description in RNAcentral is "partial small subunit ribosomal RNA". The record is from RNAcentral. Lineage: Eukaryota; Viridiplantae; Streptophyta; Magnoliopsida; Poales; Poaceae.
AUGGAAAAUCUUUCAGUUUUAGUUCUUGAUCGAGAUCCGGUUUCCCUGUGGACCAUCUCCAAUACGCUUGCUAGAUUCAACUUCAAAGUUCUUCCAUUCGAAACAGUGGAAGAGGCCCUAGAUUCCCUUAAAAGGGGGGUUGCUAAAAAUGAGGAGCUUGAUUUGGUAGUAGCGGAAGUUCAUCCUGGCAAUGCAGAGAUGGACACCUUGGUGCUGUUUCACCGCAUCCUGAAUGCACUUGAAGUGCCUCUCAUCACUAUGUGUGCCUAUGAUGAGGCAGUCUCUACACGCAUGACCCUUGGAACAUGCUUCAAUGUGGUUAAGCCGUUGGAUACUGAAACCGUCAAUUUUCUGAGGAUGAGAGCACUUCAACACAGGUCUAUUAAAAAUCACAGGUCUAAAACUGAGGAUCAAAAACAAGAUGCGUUGAACGCGAAUGUCUAUUCAGAGAAUCUGGGUUGGUUCUUAUGGAGCAGUGAGCUCCAUGAGAAGUUCUUGCAGGCUGUUGAAGUGCUUGGGCCGUCUGCUACGGCUCGAAACAUUCACCAGUACAUGAAUGCCAAGGAUUUGAAUUUGACCAUACAGCAUGUUGCAAGCCAUCUCCAGAAACACCGGCUGCGAGCGCAGAGGCAGAGGUUAUCUCAUGAUGAAGAGGGCUAUCAACAUUAUGCCAGCAUGAAGGAAUUAUCCGAGAUGAGUCAUCAGCAUACAAGGCACCCAGUGCUAAACCCAAUAAUCAUUUGGCAACAACCCAGACGCAGUUCACACAUGGGGUUGCCUCUUCUAUCUGGGACAAGUACCCCGGGAUGGUGUGGCCACACAUGGAGGGAAGUUCAGCAGCCUCUGCUAUGUGGUACAAUUACCCCGGAAAGCGGUGGGGACAAGUUGGGGAGAGUUCGGCUGGAGCACGAGUUUCUCAGACUAAUGCACGUCCACCUCCAGUUCUGA